Molecule: non-coding RNA, 118 nt
Organism: Mustela putorius furo (domestic ferret)
Lineage: Eukaryota; Metazoa; Chordata; Mammalia; Carnivora; Mustelidae
Source: Rfam
AAAAUACACCAUACCACCCUGAACGCGCCCGAUCUCGUCUGAUCUCGGAAGCUAAGCAGGGUCGGGCCUGGUUAGUACUUGGAUGGGAGAAAAUACACCAUAAAAUAUCCCUUUUUUC